UGUAUAAAAACAGGCAGACCAGAAGUGAUUCUGACAAGUCAGGAGCAAGCUUCUCUAAACCGUGAAAAGAUUACUAUCCAGAAACAUUUAGAAAAACAGAAAAAUGGCAAGUGUUCCAUCAGCUGGAUGUCUGCUAGCAAAAAACCAGUUCUACCGAAAACGACUCAGCUCUGCCUCAAGCAAUUCCUCAACAAAUUCCUCAACAAAUUCAUCAACAUGUUGUGAUCUUGUGGGAGAUCCGGAAAAGACUCCCAUGCCACAUGGUGUACAUAUGCCGUUUGAGAAGUGCUGGUGGCUGAAGAAGUUUUUAACAUGUGAUGUGGUGCAUCAUAAUAUCGCAGAAACUUCAUUGGUAAAUGGUGCUAAGGUAGUCUCCAUGAUGCUGGCGGAUGCUUGACUGUAGAAGCCAGGCUGUAAACUGAAAAGGCCUUGUGAGUGCUACGUGUCUCAGACCACCGUCUCCGCAGAUAGAUGGUGCAGCACUUAUCGAAAAAGGAGGUGAAAGGUUACCCUCUGGCAGAAGUUAGUGUUCUUUGGCUGCCAAGUAUGUACAAAUGUUAUAUAAUCUUUGGCUGUGAGUCACUAUGGGUGGCAUUAAAAGUACAAUACUCAAGUGCAUAUACUGUAAAGAAGAACAAAAGUGAGUGUCUUGGUUGUGACUACCCAAUUAAUUAGUCAGUGCAGAUAAAUGACAAAAUAACAAAAUGCAAAAUGACACCAGUAGCUAAACAGACCCUUGAGCCUGGACCUGAACCUAAAUUUUAAGGCCAUGAAGCACUGUCAUAUGCAUAAGCUGCCAUUCACUUAGGCUUGAACUUACUGAAGCAGAGCCUGUCAGAUUAAGAAUAUUUUUUUGCCAAGACCUGAUUAAUCUCAAAAGGUUUGCAAUUUAAGGCUUCAGGUUAAUACGUUUCUCUGGUCUCAAUUUGCACAUAACUUUGAAGAUUAUAUUUGCAUAAUUGCUUCUGCAGACAGGAGUGAAAAGGAAUGCAUAAGAUUGUAAUUUCUUAUGUUUUGAUGAUUUCUUUUUGUGAAAAGUAAUGUGAAACUCUUAAUACGUGAAGUAAUUAUACAUCUGCAAUUCUCUUUUGGUGAUGAAACUUUUGAAAACUUGAAAAAAAAUUCAUGUAACUAAAUAAUUAAGGUUGCAGACAAUUUUUGUGUUUCCUCUUACCUGAGUUAUUCAUAUACUAAUAUUUUAUUAUUUUUUAUUUAUUCGUGCCAUAUAGACUUGCACUGUUACAGUUUUUGUAAUAUACAGGAUGUUAUGCAUGUCUAUAAAUGUAUCAAGUUUUUGUUUAUUAGGUAUUCAUACAUACAGGUUUUAUUUUGUCUAACAUGUUCAAAUAAUUAUAUUAAUAUGGCCACACCUCCAACACAUAAAUAGGAAUUUUAUAAACAGUUUACUUCAUAAAUGCUGAAAGUGCAUUGUACAGUUAUGUGAACCAACAUCUUAACUGGUGCACUCAAUAAAAAUUAUAUCCAUUUAUGCUAUAUCCUUUUAUAUCAGUGUGGCAUUAGGUCUGGUGGUGAACCGGACUGGGCUUGGCUGCGGCAGGUGGUGGAGAGAUCACACGCACCUGGGUUGCGUUAAUUAAUCAGCCCAGGUGCUUAAAGGUGUGUUCCUCUCCACAGUUCGGGGCUGAGACCGGAAGCUCACACUGAGAGUAUGUUUUUUGUUUGUAUUUCAUUUAAUUUCAGUUUUAUUUCUUAGAAAAUGAUGGAGAAUGUAAACUGCCACUGAAAAGUAGUAGGAGCUGGUGUAAAGUGGGUCAGCUAUGAGUGGCACACUGUAAAGUGGUCGCUCUGUUUUACUUUUUUUUGUCUUUCUUAUUUUAGUUUGUUGUUUUAGUUUAUUGUUUUUGCCCGAAACCUGUGAGGGGGGAGGGCGUUUAUUUAAUUUUGUGUUUGUGUGGGUGCUCUCUCUCUCUCUUCAUGGGGCAACCAACAUUGUCUCCCUCCCAGGGGUGUCACACUGGAAUGUGACAAUCAGUGUUUAUAGUCUACUUCUGAAUGUGUAGGGCACCAUAACUCAUCCAACAGCAUAAUGGCAUUUACCAAGCACAGUACAUUAAUGCUAUAAGCCUAACGGGGAACUUGCUUUACUGCUUGUAUAUCCAUGUAAUGUAGAACUGAGAAGUCCGAUUCAUGCAGUAAACCUAUUUUCUUGCAACAGUUUGAUUCAUUACUGUGUUAAAACCAUAAAUCAAUGAUUUCUCAUAGCCUGGCAGAUUAUUAAGCUGCCUGCUUUAGAGCAGAUGGCUUAUUACCAGUUAAAGCUCUCAACAGUAGUAUUGUGCUACUAACACACAAAUUAGUUAGUUAGACAGAAAACGCAUCCAGUUAGAAACAUGUAAAUUUUGGGCGCAAAAGUUUAUUCCAUGAAAAAGGCAAAAAUGCAUGUUUAAAUUCAAACCUAUUUGUAUAGGAUACAUAGUUGAACAGUUGCAUUAUUUUUUAAUAUUUUUGUAUAACUUGUUUUGCACAUUUUGUACUAAUAAAACAUUUUUUUUGCAAUUA
Molecule: long non-coding RNA, 2520 nt
Organism: Anguilla anguilla (European eel)
Lineage: Eukaryota; Metazoa; Chordata; Actinopteri; Anguilliformes; Anguillidae
Exons: 5
Source: RefSeq, a predicted model, not a curated record